Molecule: ribosomal RNA, 380 nt
Filed under: Clostridium botulinum
Lineage: Bacteria; Bacillati; Bacillota; Clostridia; Eubacteriales; Clostridiaceae
Description: partial 23S ribosomal RNA
Rfam family: Bacterial large subunit ribosomal RNA
Source: RNAcentral
AACUUAAGCCCCAGUAAACGGCGGCCGUAACUAUAACGGUCCUAAGGUAGCGAAAUUCCUUGUCGGGUAAGUUCCGACCCGCACGAAUGGCGUAAUGAUUUGGGCACUGUCUCAACAGCAAAUCCGGCGAAAUUGUAGUGCAAGUGAAGAUGCUUGCUACCCGCGAUUGGACGGAAAGACCCCGUAGAGCUUUACUGUAGCUUAGCAUUGAAUCUCGGUAUUGUCUGUACAGGAUAGGUGGGAGACUUGGAAACUUGGGCGUCAGCCUGAGUGGAGUCAUCCUUGGGAUACCACCCUGACAGUACUGGGGUUCUAACCGGCGGCCAUGAAUCUGGUCACGGGACAUUGUUAGGUGGGCAGUUUGACUGGGGCGGUCGCCU